UCUCUGUUCGUAUAGUGGUUAGUAUGUGAGCUUGUCAUCUGGACUCUUCAAGUGUCCUAGACAUCGCUCGAGACCGGGGUUCAAUUCCCCGACAGAGAG
Non-coding RNA from Coniochaeta pulveracea, 99 nucleotides. Lineage: Eukaryota; Fungi; Ascomycota; Sordariomycetes; Coniochaetales; Coniochaetaceae. The record is from the annotation of a GenBank genome assembly.